AUUGAACGCUGGCGGAAUGCUUUACACAUGCAAGUCGAACGGUAGAGGGGGCAACCCCUCGAGAGUGGCGAACGGGUGAGUAAUAUAUCGGAACGUGCCCAGUCGUGGGGGAUAACGUAGCGAAAGUUACGCUAAUACCGCAUACGAUCUAAGGAUGAAAGCGGGGGAUCGCAAGACCUCGCGCGAUUGGAGCGGCCGAUAUCAGAUUAGGUAGUUGGUGGGGUAAAGGCUCACCAAGCCAACGAUCUGUAGCUGGUCUGAGAGGACGACCAGCCACACUGGAACUGAGACACGGUCCAGACUCCUACGGGAGGCAGCAGUGGGGAAUUUUGGACAAUGGACGCAAGUCUGAUCCAGCCAUCCCGCGUGCAGGAUGAGGGCCCUCGGGUUGUAAACUGCUUUUGUACGGAACGAAAAGGUCUCUCUUAAUACGGGGGGCUCAUGACGGUACCGUAAGAAUAAGCACCGGCUAACUACGUGCCAGCAGCCGCAGUAA
Molecule: ribosomal RNA, 496 nt
Filed under: uncultured bacterium
Lineage: Bacteria
Description: partial 16S ribosomal RNA
Rfam family: Bacterial small subunit ribosomal RNA
Source: RNAcentral